GUGGGGAAUCUUGCGCAAUGGGCGAAAGCCUGACGCAGCCAUGCCGCGUGAAUGAUGAAGGUCUUAGGAUUGUGAAAUUCUUUCACCGGGGACGAUAAUGACGGUACCCGGAGAAGAAGCUCCGGCUAACUUCGUGCCAGCAGCCGCGGUAAUACGAAGGGGGCUAGCGUUGCUCGGAAUUACUGGGCGUAAAGGGCGCGUAGGCGGACAGCUUAGUCAGAGGUGAAAGCCCAGGGCUCAACCUUGGAAUUGCCUUUGAUACUGGCUGUCUUGAGUUUGGGAGAGGUGAGUGGAACUCCGAGUGUAGAGGUGAAAUUCGUAGAUAUUCGGAAGAACACCAGUGGCGAAGGCGACUCACUGGCCCAAUACUGACGCUGAGGCGCGAAAGCGUGGGGAGCAAACAGGAUUAGAAACCCCAGUAGUCC
This 425-nucleotide ribosomal RNA is filed under the name uncultured bacterium. RNAcentral's name for it is "partial 16S ribosomal RNA". It matches the Rfam family "Bacterial small subunit ribosomal RNA", at positions 354 to 796 of the family's 1533-position model. The record is from RNAcentral.